GCAACAGGAUGGCGCAAGCACGGGGCAGAGGCAGUGGAGUCCUGAAGAUGAGAAGGUGUGAGCCUUAGGAAGAUCUGGGGAGACACGUCCCGCAUAGAGGGAGCAGUUGGUCUGAAGGUCCUAAGCAUGCCAUCUGUUUCCUGCCAUGAUCCUGACUGGUACAGCCACCCAACACCUCCUGCUCCCAUGACAGGAAGAUUAGCCCUGAGCUAACAUCUGCUGCCAAUUCUCCUCUUUUUGCUGAGGAAGCCUGCCCUGAGCUGACAUCUGUGCCCAUCUUCCUCUACUUUAUAUGUGGGACACCUGCCACAGCAUGGCUUGAUAAAUGGUGUGUAGGUCCACACCUGGAGUCUGAACCAGUGAACCAUGGGUGGCCGAAGCUGAGUGUUCAAAACUUAACUGCUGUGCCACUGGGCUGGCCCCCA
RNAcentral lists this long non-coding RNA (425 nucleotides) under Equus asinus (donkey). RNAcentral's name for it is "lncRNA (ENSEASG00005028636.1)". Lineage: Eukaryota; Metazoa; Chordata; Mammalia; Perissodactyla; Equidae. The record is from RNAcentral.